GAUGAACGCGGGCGGCGUGCCUAAUACAUGCGAGUCGAGCGAACAGACGAGGAGCUUGCUCCUCUGACGUUAGCGGCGGACGGGUGAGUAACACGUGGAUAACCUACCUAUAAGACUGGGAAACUUCGGGAAACCCGACCCAAUACCGGGCAAUAUAUUGAACCUCAUGGAUCAAUUGUGAAAUACCGCUUUUCUGUCCCUUAUCAAAGCAUCCGUUCCGCAUUAGCUAAUUGGUAAGGUAACGGCUUACCAACGCAACGAUUCGUAGCCGAACUGAGAGGGUCAUAGCCCUGCCUGGACCUUAGCCACGGUCCAGACUCCUACGGGAGGCAACAGUAGGGAAUCUUCCGCAAUGGGCGAAAGCCUGACGGAGCAACACCGCGUGAGUGAUGAAGGUCUACGGAUCGUAAAACUCUGUUAUUAGCGAAGAACAAAUUUGUAAGUAACUAUGCACGUCUUGACGGUACCUAGUCAGAAAGCCACGGCUAACUACGUG
Molecule: ribosomal RNA, 496 nt
Filed under: uncultured bacterium
Lineage: Bacteria
Description: partial 16S ribosomal RNA
Rfam family: Bacterial small subunit ribosomal RNA
Source: RNAcentral